This 565-nucleotide ribosomal RNA is filed under the name uncultured bacterium. Its description in RNAcentral is "bacterial SSU rRNA". It matches the Rfam family "Bacterial small subunit ribosomal RNA", at positions 338 to 916 of the family's 1533-position model. The record is from RNAcentral.
CCUACGGGAGGCAGCAGUGGGGAAUAUUGGGCAAUGGAGGAAACUCUGACCCAGCGACGCCGCGUGCGGGAUGAAGGCCUUCGGGUUGUAAACCGCUUUCAGCAGGGAAGAAGCGAAAGUGACGGUACCUGCAGAAGAAGCACCGGCUAACUAUGUGCCAGCAGCCGCGGUAAUACAUAGGGUGCAAGCGUUGUCCGGAAUUAUUGGGCGUAAAGAGCUCGUAGGUGGUUCGUCACGUCGGAUGUGAAAAUCUGGGGCUUAACCCCAGACCUGCAUUCGAUACGGGCGAGCUUGAGUAUGGUAGGGGAGUCUGGAAUUCCUGGUGUAGCGGUGGAAUGCGCAGAUAUCAGGAGGAACACCAAUGGCGAAGGCAGGACUCUGGGCCAUUACUGACACUGAGGAGCGAAAGCGUGGGGAGCGAACAGGAUUAGAUACCCUGGUAGUCCACGCCGUAAACGGUGGGCACUAGUUGUGGGGACCUUCCACGGUCUCUGCGACGCAGCUAACGCAUUAAGUGCCCCGCCUGGGGAUCGAUCGCAAGNUUAAAACNCAAAUGAAUUGACGG